RNAcentral lists this unclassified non-coding RNA (362 nucleotides) under Bombus terrestris (buff-tailed bumblebee). RNAcentral's name for it is "misc RNA ENSBTSG00005023717.1". Lineage: Eukaryota; Metazoa; Arthropoda; Insecta; Hymenoptera; Apidae. The record is from RNAcentral.
GAGAGGAGAGAAACGAUGAAGUGAGCACAGCAGCAGGUUGCAGGUCGCUCGAAGGGGUGAAAGAACGGCCGCUGUCGAGCUUCGUAUUCCGGCCUGUCGUCUUCGUCCUCGAAAGAGUCUCAGCCUGGCGGAGGAUAAGCAGAAGAAAGAGAGAGAAAGAGGUAAAAGUACGACCUGCUCGGACCCUGCGGAGAAAGGGAGACCAAACAGGUUGGCAAACUGCGAGCGGAUGCUGGCUCGAGCAAAUAAAGGAGCCUCCAUUUAUUAAGCCGGCAAUAAAAUAGCGCUCCUCUGCUCUUCGUUUCGCCGUCUCCUUUCUUCCCUCUUCGAUUCUCCAGUCCCGUCGUCCGUGGGUGGAACAG